Diachasma alloeum is the source of this 415-nucleotide long non-coding RNA. RefSeq lists it as uncharacterized. The record is from RefSeq and is a predicted model, not a curated record. NCBI's taxonomy places the organism in Eukaryota, Metazoa, Arthropoda, Insecta, Hymenoptera, Braconidae. The transcript is spliced from 2 exons.
CUCCUCGGGCCAACUGUGGAAAUAAUGAAUGACGAACUGUGGAGAGCUCAACCCGAGUUUACAGAGUACAACUACUCUCUUCACAUAUCACUAAUAUCACCUGAAAAGAAACCGAAAUCAGAAAGAAAUGUUCGAGAGACCCCUCAGCAGCCCCAGGAUGGAUAUUUAUAACCAGGAACCUUAGAACAUCAAGCUCAGUGUAUGAAAUGACUGCAUCUUCUGAUCAAUUAACAACCUACGUAGAGAACGAGCGAAAAAUUUAUUUAUUCUUUAGGUGAACGCGAUCAACGUGAAUCGGACAAAUUUAAUUCAGAAAAUUAUUCAUAUAAUAAUUUUGGUGAAUGAAUAAUUAGCUUGCUAUGUAAUUCUUUCUGGAAGAAAUAUAAGAAUACUUGUUUAGUAGAAAUUAUCAUCA